AUGGGAACUAAGGAUGUAAUAAAGUCUAGAAGCAGGAUACGAGCCCCAGAUAACUGAGAUGCAUGUGAAUGGAAUGAUUUCCAUGAGCCCAGAUGCCUGCAUCUUCCCACACAUAGACGAGCGCUAAAUGCCUUAACUUGAGAUACCUGGUUUUCCUUAAUCAACAGUCAUCUCUGACGUUCAGCCUACCUGCCUGUUGUUGCAAACUUCUAUAUAAACUGACUCCUUCCCCCAGUUCCUCGGAGCAGUUCGCUCGGGGCCACUUGAGAUGCUGCCUCCCCGGCUUGCAGUCCUAAGAAUUCCCACUGAAUAAAACAACUCUCUCCUUUCAGGUUGUGACUGAAUUUUUCAGUUCACAGUUCACUAUCUUGAUUGUGGUGACGGUUUCAAGAUACAGUAUGGUGGUGGUGGUUUAGUCGAUAAGUUUGUGUUCCACUCUUUGCGACCCCAUGGACUAUAACCCACCAGGCUUCUCUGUCCAUGGGAUCCUCCAGGCAAGAAUACUGGAGUGGGUUGCCAUUUCCUUCUCCAGACAGUAUAUAGGAAGAAACCAAGGAAACUAUGAAGAAAAGAUUCAAAAGCUGAUAAAUAGGGAGCUGGAAUUUGAACUCAGACAUUCAAAAAUCUACGUUCUUAACCAGCACAGGAGUCAAUUCUGUAGAUAAUGGAUCUGAACCUUAUUUUUGACUCAGUUAUAUAUUAAGUGCCUACAGUAUAUAAAAUCCUUUGUUAAAUAUUUUUGCUGGAUCCUAGGGAAGAGGUUGGAGAAGGCAAUGGCAACCCACUCCAGUACUCUUGCCUGGAAAAUCCCAUGGGCGGAGGAGCCUGGUGGGCUGCAGUCCAUGGGGUCACUAAGGGUUGGACUCGACUGAGCGACUUCACUUUCACUUUUCACUUUCAUGCAUUGGAGAAGGAAAUGGCAACCCACUCCAGUGUUCUUGCCUGGAGAAUCCCAGGGAUAGCAGAGCCUGGUGAGCUGCCGUUUAUGGGGUCGCACAGAGUCAGACACAACUGAAGCGACUUAGCAGCAGCAGCAGGGAAGAGGUGGGCUUCCCAGGUGACGCUAGUGGUAAAGAACCCACCUGCCAAUGCAG
Long non-coding RNA from Bos taurus (domestic cattle), 1094 nucleotides. The record is from Ensembl. Lineage: Eukaryota; Metazoa; Chordata; Mammalia; Artiodactyla; Bovidae.